GACGAACGCUGGCGGCGUGCCUAAUACAUGCAAGUUGAGCGCUGAAGGUUGGUACUUGUACCAACUGGAUGAGCAGCGAACGGGUGAGUAACGCGUGGGGAAUCUGCCUUUGAGCGGGGGACAACAUUUGGAAACGAAUGCUAAUACCGCAUAAAAACUUUAAACACAAGUUUUAAGUUUGAAAGAUGCAAUUGCAUCACUCAAAGAUGAUCCCGCGUUGUAUUAGCUAGUUGGUGAGGUAAAGGCUCACCAAGGCGAUGAUACAUAGCCGACCUGAGAGGGUGAUCGGCCAAAUUGGGACUGAGACACGGCCCCAACUCCUACGGGAGGCAGCAGUAGGGAAUCUUCGGCAAUGGACGAAAGUCUGACCGAGCAACGCCGCGUGAGUGAAGAAGGUUUUCGGAUCGUAAAACUCUGUUGGUAGGGAAGAACGUUGGUGAGAGUGGAAAGCUCAUCAAGUGACGGUAACUACCCAGAAAGGGACGGCUAACUACGUG
RNAcentral lists this ribosomal RNA (497 nucleotides) under uncultured bacterium. RNAcentral's name for it is "partial 16S ribosomal RNA". It matches the Rfam family "Bacterial small subunit ribosomal RNA", at positions 28 to 507 of the family's 1533-position model. The record is from RNAcentral.